GGAGGGAUCAUUACACAAUAUGAAAGCGGGCUGGCAUCCUUCGGGGUUACAGCCUUGCUGAAUUAUUCACCCGUGUCUUUUGCGUACUUCUUGUUUCCUUGGUGGGUUCGCCCACCAUAGGACAAACCAUAAACCUUUUGUAAUUGCAAUCAGCGUCAGUAAAAAAAAAUUAAUAAUUACAACUUUUAACAACGGAUCUCUUGGUUCUGGCAUCGAUGAAGAACGCAGCGAAAUGCGAUAAGUAGUGUGAAUUGCAGAAUUCAGUGAAUCAUCGAAUCUUUGAACGCACAUUGCGCCCUUUGGUAUUCCAAAGGGCAUGCCUGUUCGAGCGUCAUUUGUACCCUCAAGCUUUGCUUGGUGUUGGGCGUCUUGUCUCCAGUUCGCNNGGAGACUCGCCUUAAAGUAAUUGGCAGCCGGCCUACUGGUUUCGGAGCGCAGCACAAGUCGCGCUCUCUUCCAGCCAAGGUCAGCAUCCACAAAGCCUUUUUUCAACUUUUGAC
RNAcentral lists this ribosomal RNA (500 nucleotides) under Ulocladium sp. FSU9319. RNAcentral's name for it is "eukaryotic LSU rRNA". The stretch from base 181 to 334 matches the Rfam family "5.8S ribosomal RNA". The record is from RNAcentral. Lineage: Eukaryota; Fungi; Ascomycota; Dothideomycetes; Pleosporales; Pleosporaceae.